This 446-nucleotide ribosomal RNA is filed under the name uncultured bacterium. Its description in RNAcentral is "partial 16S ribosomal RNA". It matches the Rfam family "Bacterial small subunit ribosomal RNA", at positions 338 to 795 of the family's 1533-position model. The record is from RNAcentral.
CCUACGGGAGGCAGCAGUAGGGAAUAUUGCUCAAUGGGGGAAACCCUGAAGCAGCAACGCCGCGUGGGGGAAUGAAGGUCUUCGGAUUGUAAACCCCUGUCAUGUGGGAGCAAAUUAAAAAGAUAGUACCACAAGAGGAAGAGACGGCUAACUCUGUGCCAGCAGCCGCGGUAAUACAGAGGUCUCAAGCGUUGUUCGGAAUCACUGGGCGUAAAGCGUGCGUAGGCUGUUUCGUAAGUCUUGUGUGAAAGGCGCGGGCUCAACCCGCGGACGGCACAUGAUACUGCGAGACUAGAGUAAAGGAGGGGGAACCGGAAUUCUCGGUGUAGCAGUGAAAUGCGUAGAUAUCGAGAGGAACACUCGUGGCGAAGGCGGGUUCCUGGACAUUAACUGACGCUGAGGCACGAAGGCCAGGGGAGCGAAAGGGAUUAGAUACCCCAGUAGUC